AUUGAACGCUGGCGACAUGCUUUACACAUGCAAGUCGAACGGUAACAGGCCGCAAGGUGCUGACGAGUGGCGAACGGGUGAGUAAUGCAUCGGAACGUGCCCAGUCGUGGGGGAUAACUACUCGAAAGAGUAGCUAAUACCGCAUACGAUCUAUGGAUGAAAGCGGGGGACCGUAAGGCCUCGCGCGAUUGGAGCGGCCGAUGUCAGAUUAGGUAGUUGGUGGGGUAAAGGCUCACCAAGCCAACGAUCUGUAGCUGGUCUGAGAGGACGACCAGCCACACUGGGACUGAGACACGGCCCAGACUCCUACGGGAGGCAGCAGUGGGGAAUUUUGGACAAUGGGCGCAAGCCUGAUCCAGCAAUGCCGCGUGCAGGAAGAAGGCCUUCGGGUUGUAAACUGCCUUUGUACGGAACGAAACGGCUCUGGUUAAUACCCGGGGCUAAUGACGGUACCGUAAGAAUAAGCACCGGCUAACUACGUG
RNAcentral lists this ribosomal RNA (482 nucleotides) under uncultured bacterium. Its description in RNAcentral is "partial 16S ribosomal RNA". It matches the Rfam family "Bacterial small subunit ribosomal RNA", at positions 30 to 507 of the family's 1533-position model. The record is from RNAcentral.